AAAACAUCUCAUUCAUUCUAUUAAAAUUGAAGCUUUUCAAAAUGACUAAAUUUUCAGUCAUGCCAAUUCUUGUCCUUUUUAUUAUUUUUUCAGUUGUAAACGUGACAUGUCAAGCAGGCCAAUUAUGUAACAUAAGCAAACCUAAUUGUAUCCCUUAUGAGUGUGAAGAUUGGUGUUCUGAACCUUCUCAUUCAGGUUUCGGAAGAUGUGGAGGAGGCCCUGCAAACAUAUGUUUUUGCACAUAUCCAUGUUAAGUCUAUAAAAAACUUAGCACAAUGCUCAAAAAUUAAAUGUUAAAUGUAAGAGCAUAUCAAAAUAAAUCUAAUAAAAUUAUGCAUUUGUUAUGAAUAAA
This is a long non-coding RNA of Vicia villosa (hairy vetch), 352 nucleotides long. RefSeq lists it as uncharacterized. Lineage: Eukaryota; Viridiplantae; Streptophyta; Magnoliopsida; Fabales; Fabaceae. The transcript is spliced from 2 exons. The record is from RefSeq and is a predicted model, not a curated record.